UACGUAGGGCGCAAGCGUUAUCCGGAAUUAUUGGGCGUAAAGAGCUCGUAGGCGGUGUGUCGCGUCGGCCGUGAAACCUGCAGCUUAACUGUGGGCUUGCGGUCGAUACGGGCAUCACUGGAGUUCGGCAGGGGAGACUGGAAUUCCUGGUGUAGCGGUGAAAUGCGCAGAUAUCAGGAGGAACACCGGUGGCGAAGGCGGGUCUCUGGGCCGAUGACUGACGCUGAGGAGCGAAAGCGUGGGGAGCGAACAGG
Molecule: ribosomal RNA, 254 nt
Filed under: uncultured bacterium
Lineage: Bacteria
Description: partial 16S ribosomal RNA
Rfam family: Bacterial small subunit ribosomal RNA
Source: RNAcentral